UUGGAGGGCAAGUCUGGUGCCAGCAGCCGCGGUAAUUCCAGCUCCAAUAGCGUAUAUUAAAGUUGUUGCAGUUAAAAAGCUCGUAGUUGAAUUUCGGGGUUAGUAGGUUGGUCGUGCCUCAGGUAUGUACUGAUCUCACUGAUUCCUCCUUCCUGAUGAACCGUAAUGCCAUUAAUUUGGUGUUGCGGGGAAACUGGACUGUUACUUUGAAAAAAUUAGAGUGUUUAAAGCAGGCUAACGCUUGAAUACAUUAGCAUGGAACAAUGAAAUAGGACGUUCGAUCCUAUUUUGUUGGUUUCUAGGAUUGACGUAAUGAUUAAUAGGGAUAGUUGGGGGCAUUAGUAUUCAAUUGUCAGAGGUGAAAUUCUUGGAUUUAUUGAAGACUAACUACUGCGAAAGCAUUUGCCAAGAAUGUUUUCAUUAAUCAAGAACGAAAGUUAGGGGAUCGAAGACGAUCAGAUACCGUCGUAGUCUUAACCAUAAACUAUGCCGACUAGGGAUCGGAUGAUGUUAAUUUUUUAAUGACUCAUUCGGCGCCUUACGGGAAA
Molecule: ribosomal RNA, 548 nt
Filed under: uncultured Glomeromycotina
Lineage: Eukaryota; Fungi; Glomeromycota
Description: SSU rRNA
Rfam family: Eukaryotic small subunit ribosomal RNA
Source: RNAcentral